Macaca mulatta (Rhesus monkey) is the source of this 566-nucleotide non-coding RNA. The record is from RefSeq and is a predicted model, not a curated record. Lineage: Eukaryota; Metazoa; Chordata; Mammalia; Primates; Cercopithecidae.
AGCAAUAUUGGCAAGAAGUGAGACGUGAUCAGCGUUUCUUUGUGUUGCUUUUCACGGUGACCUUGGUUGGCAUUCUCUAAGGACACAGACGUACUGUUGUAAGCCGUGGCUGAAAGUACAUUCAGACACAAGAGAGGUCGAUGAGAGGGAAGUGAAAAGACAGAGUGAAUAAAGAACUUUGUAAUUUAUCAAGAUGAUCAAGAUCAACAGAAAAUGGGCUAAGACAUGGAGCAAGGGGAAGAAUGAUUCUUGAAGAUGCUGAGUAACUUCUGUUGGUGCCCUCCUCGACUCUGGCAGGUGUCCAAGCCCUGUUGUUCUCCCUGCACGGGGCGGCUGAGCAGUGCUCUGUAAAUUAUGCACCAGUCCCACAAUGUCUGGGGAGCCUGUGGACCCAUUUUGUCUACCUGGAGCUCAGCCACUUGGGUCUCCUUUGCCAAGGAGUGUCCUCCCUCUGGAACCCAAUACCAGCUCUUUCUUCUGUCUGGAAUCUUCCCUCAGCUCUUUUAAGGUUAGUUCUGGCUUCUUAGCAUUUCAUUACAUUGUUACAUUUUGUGAGACCUCUAAAG